Molecule: small nucleolar RNA, 75 nt
Filed under: Oryza punctata
Lineage: Eukaryota; Viridiplantae; Streptophyta; Magnoliopsida; Poales; Poaceae
Description: Small nucleolar RNA R12
Rfam family: Small nucleolar RNA R12
About the family: snoR12 is a C/D box small nucleolar RNA, which acts as a methylation guide for 25S ribosomal RNA in plants. snoR12 has been alternatively named snoZ44 in Arabidopsis and snoZ131 in rice.
Source: Rfam by way of RNAcentral
UUCUGGUUGAUGAAGAAACGAGGGAUUCCCAUCUAUUUUCCACUAUGUUUUAACAACCAGCUACUUCUGACAGAU